GGCAGCCGCUCCGGCCCUGUCGAAGCUGCGUCUGCCUGGCUUGCGUAGCUGGCGCAGUCAAAAAGGAGCCGACAGCGAGCUGUUUUCCCUGACGGUCGCUGCGCAGUUUGUUCUGCCGUAACUGCCCAGCAACAUCUCGGGAAAACACACCUUUGGGAAAGGCGGUGGUCCUCGGCGCUGCUGCUGCUAGAAGAUGGCAGCUGUUCGGUGCUUUUGGGGUCCCGGCGGGGGAAGGCGUACGGGGAAGUGGGAGGCAGUGGGUGUCAUAGCCUUUCUGUGACUCGAAAGUCCUUUUUCUGCGUAAGAAGCUGCUUGAUGUUGAAGACUGGUGCUCUCCCCGGCAUCCUUCAAGCAUGGAAGGUGAUCGCAUGUAUGCAAGAUCAUGGGGUGGUAACGGCCCAGGCUGAGCAGCACAAACAGGGCUACGUGAUGAUUAGGAGCUCGUUCAACUGAUUGCCUGCCUGCUGGAUAGACCCACCAUGGCACUUGCAAGGAAUCACUUAGUGGAAAAAGCUGAGAGCUCAUGGACGUAAGGCCUUUAUCCCUUGCUUCAGUGAAGGGAAUCAGUUUGCUCUCCAAAAGGCGUAAAUCAUGUAUGGAGAAGCUAUGCAGCUCGACAUGUGAGUGUCCUUUGUGAGUAAGCGUGAGAAUUGUUUGGUUUUCAUAAGUGGCAUCUCAGCUGUCCUACGGAGUAUGAAGAACGCUAUAAACUGACUGUGAAGUGAGUUGUGCCUAUACUGUCAGCAGCUACUAAAAUUCUUUUCUUACCAGCCACUGGAAAUGGCUAAUCCUCAACUGGACUUUGCAGCCUGUUGGGGCUUUCCGGGUGGGAAUGAUAAAGGUCAGUAGUAAGGUUUGUAGUUUGGGAGCAUGGUGUCUCUUAAGUCAGAGUUUUGGUGAGAUCGGUCAUGCCACACCUGGUCAGUGAUGACUCUUUCUUUGGAGACUGCUGGAUGAAUCCUGCGGAUAUGGGGCUGAGGCCAGGCAGCAGCACAAACUCCCUAAAAUCACUGCAAAGUGCUGGGAGUGGGAGUGCCAGGGAAUUCCUUAACGCAGAUGAAAUCUGAAGCUAUGUCAUGUCAAACUGUUCUUCAUUCAGACUUUUUUCCCCACUCUUUAGGUCUAAAUGGAAUAUGGAGUUGAGAUGAGCCUGUCCCUGAAGGUUUCAGCCUCUGUCUUUUUUUUUUUUUUUUUUUGAUCCUCUCCUAAAGUGGUAAUUCUGCAUGAACAGAUCCUGGCUCCUUUGUAAGCUGUGAGCUCCCCCAGGUGGGGACAACUGCUUAGGUUCAGGAGUCAUUCAGUUUUACAGGUAGCAGGAGCUUGUUUGACUCUAGAUGUUGCUAAAGUUGCUAAAUACUCAGCAGGGAAGAAGUGUUCCUGCCAUAGAGUUUUAUCAGAGGAAGAAUUUGGGGGAGGGUCUGGACUUAAAACAUUUGGAGGGUGAAUAAAUGCAUUUGAAACUCUUGCUGUCUCUCUUGU
Struthio camelus australis is the source of this 1479-nucleotide long non-coding RNA. Lineage: Eukaryota; Metazoa; Chordata; Aves; Struthioniformes; Struthionidae. The record is from Ensembl.